GACGAACGCUGGCGGCGUGCUUAACACAUGCAAGUCGAACUGAAAGGCCCUGCUUUUGUGGGGUGCUCGAGUGGCGAACGGGUGAGUAACACGUGAGUAACCUGCCCUUGACUUUGGGAUAACUUCAGGAAACUGGGGCUAAUACCGGAUAGGAGCUCCUGCUGCAUGGUGGGGGUUGGAAAGUUUCGGCGGUUGGGGAUGGACUCGCGGCUUAUCAGCUUGUUGGUGGGGUAGUGGCUUACCAAGGCUUUGACGGGUAGCCGGCCUGAGAGGGUGACCGGCCACAUUGGGACUGAGAUACGGCCCAGACUCCUACGGGAGGCAGCAGUGGGGAAUAUUGCACAAUGGGCGGAAGCCUGAUGCAGCAACUCCGCGUGCGGGAUGACGGCCUUCGGGUUGUAAACCGCUUUCGCCUGUGACGAAGCGUGAGUGACGGUAAUGGGUAAAGAAGCACCGGCUAACUACGUG
Molecule: ribosomal RNA, 468 nt
Filed under: uncultured bacterium
Lineage: Bacteria
Description: partial 16S ribosomal RNA
Rfam family: Bacterial small subunit ribosomal RNA
Source: RNAcentral